GGGGUGCUCGAGUGGCGAACGGGUGAGUAACACGUGAGUAACCUGCCCUUGACUUUGGGAUAACUUCAGGAAACUGGGGCUAAUACCGGAUAGGAGCUCCUGCUGCAUGGUGGAGGUUGGAAAGUUUCGGCGGUUGGGGAUGGACUCGCGGCUUAUCAGCUUGUUGGUGGGGUAGUGGCUUACCAAGGCCUUGACGGGUAGCCGGCCUGAGAGGGUGACCGGCCACAUUGGGACUGAGAUACGGCCCAG
Molecule: ribosomal RNA, 249 nt
Filed under: uncultured Actinomycetales bacterium
Lineage: Bacteria; Bacillati; Actinomycetota; Actinomycetes; Actinomycetales
Description: partial 16S ribosomal RNA
Rfam family: Bacterial small subunit ribosomal RNA
Source: RNAcentral